UUCAUGUCCUCCAACGGUCCCACCUCAAUGACGUCAGUGUUCGCGGUUCACCGCUUGAGUAACUGAAAGAUUUGGGUGCGUUACAUUUGACGAAGAAGUGCAAGAAGAGCGGCUCAAUUUCUACGGUACCGCCUGUUAAUGCUUCAGGGAGCUGAUGAAUCUAAGAUGGAUACUUUUGACGAUGCCACUCUAUCGGUGUUGGAGGCAUUCCCAGCACAUCGACCCCCCUCUGUGCCAAGGAAGCCAAAGACCAAAACCUUCCUGCUGCCAUCCGCAUCAGCCUCAGGCUCCUCACUCAGGACUGUGAUCGCUUCACCAACCACGCCUGCAAAGGAUGAUGUUGUCGGCCAGGACAGUCUGAAAAUGCAGGCUAGGCACUACAAAACCUUGAGCAACAUGUACAAUAAGCCAAAUGCAAAACCCAAUCAAAGUGAUGUUGCUCAAGUUUUAG
This is a long non-coding RNA of Gasterosteus aculeatus aculeatus (three-spined stickleback), 451 nucleotides long. Lineage: Eukaryota; Metazoa; Chordata; Actinopteri; Perciformes; Gasterosteidae. The record is from Ensembl.